AUUGAACGCUGGCGGCAUGCCUUACACAUGCAAGUCGAACGGCAGCAUAGGAGCUUGCUCCUGAUGGCGAGUGGCGAACGGGUGAGUAAUAUAUCGGAACGUGCCCUAGAGUGGGGGAUAACUAGUCGAAAGACUAGCUAAUACCGCAUACGAUCUACGGAUGAAAGUGGGGGAUCGCAAGACCUCAUGCUCCUGGAGCGGCCGAUAUCUGAUUAGCUAGUUGGUGGGGUAAAAGCCUACCAAGGCAACGAUCAGUAGCUGGUCUGAGAGGACGACCAGCCACACUGGGACUGAGACACGGCCCAGACUCCUACGGGAGGCAGCAGUGGGGAAUUUUGGACAAUGGGGGCAACCCUGAUCCAGCAAUGCCGCGUGAGUGAAGAAGGCCUUCGGGUUGUAAAGCUCUUUUGUCAGGGAAGAAACGGUAGUAGCGAAUAACUACUACUAAUGACGGUACCUGAAGAAUAAGCACCGGCUAACUACGUGCCAGCAGCCGCGGUAAUACGUAGGGUGCAAGCGUUAAUCGGAAUUACUGGGCGUAAAGCGUGCGCAGGCGGUUGUGUAAGUCAGAUGUGAAAUCCCCGGGCUCAACCUGGGAAUUGCAUUUGAGACUGCACGGCUAGAGUGUGUCAGAGGGGGGUAGAAUUCCACGUGUAGCAGUGAAAUGCGUAGAUAUGUGGAGGAAUACCGAUGGCGAAGGCAGCCCCCUGGGAUAACACUGACGCUCAUGCACGANAGCGUGGGGAGCAAACAGG
This 755-nucleotide ribosomal RNA is filed under the name uncultured Oxalobacteraceae bacterium. RNAcentral describes it as "bacterial SSU rRNA". It matches the Rfam family "Bacterial small subunit ribosomal RNA", at positions 28 to 776 of the family's 1533-position model. The record is from RNAcentral. Lineage: Bacteria; Pseudomonadati; Pseudomonadota; Betaproteobacteria; Burkholderiales; Oxalobacteraceae.